This 269-nucleotide ribosomal RNA is filed under the name uncultured archaeon. RNAcentral's name for it is "partial 16S ribosomal RNA". It matches the Rfam family "Archaeal small subunit ribosomal RNA", at positions 477 to 747 of the family's 1478-position model. The record is from RNAcentral.
CAGCACCUCAAGUGGUCAGGAUGAUUAUUGGGCCUAAAGCAUCCGUAGCCGGCUCUGUAAGUUUUCGGUUAAAUCUGUAUGCUCAACAUACAGGCUGCCGGGAAUACUGCAGAGCUAGGGAGUGGGAGAGGUAGACGGUACUCGGUAGGAAGGGGUAAAAUCCUUGAUCUAUUGAUGACCACCUGUGGCGAAGGCGGUCUACCAGAACACGUCCGACGGUGAGGGAUGAAAGCUGGGGGAGCAAACCGGAUUAGAUACCCGAGUAGUCC